Long non-coding RNA from Octopus sinensis (East Asian common octopus), 1834 nucleotides. RefSeq lists it as uncharacterized. The transcript is spliced from 2 exons. The record is from RefSeq and is a predicted model, not a curated record. Lineage: Eukaryota; Metazoa; Mollusca; Cephalopoda; Octopoda; Octopodidae.
UAUAUAUAUAAUUUAAAAGAAGAAAUCCAUUGAGAAAUUUAUCAUGGAUAAAAGAAAGUAUUUAUACUUUUAUCAAAAUAUGCUGCUAGUUUUAAUAAUUUAAAAAGAUGAUUAAAUCUUGCUGAAAUUGGAAGGAAAUUAAAUUGAAAUAAAUUAAAAUCUCAUGAUAUCAGUUCAAUUAAUUUUUCCUUUUAUUUCAGCAUGACAUAAUCAACUAUUUUAAGCAAUUGAAACCGGUAGCAUAUUUUGACAGAAAUGUAAAUACUUUCAUCCAUGAAAGCAUUUCCUCUUAUGCUUUUUAAUAUAAAUUUACUCUCAUGAAACCUCUUAAUCUUUUCAAUGUCAUUGUGUGCGUGUGUGUAUAUGUGUGUGUGUACACACAUUCACACAUAUGCACACACACAUACACAGAUAUAUAUAUAUAUAUAUAUAUAUGUGUGUGUAUUUAAUGUACGAAUAGUGUCAUUAAACCAGUUGGAAACAGAAAAAUAUCAGUAUAGAAGUCAACAAUAGAAAUAAGUGACCAAAACAUCUUCAAAAGAACAAUAAAAUAAUUAAAACCCUUUGGUCUUGGUUGUUGAUCUAAAAUUCGUAUACAUUGAUUACCGUUCUACUUCUCUAAACAAACUGACUGAAUUCGCACCAAACAGACUAUCCAUGGCAGUCACCCUCCCCCAAAUCACAUGACACUGUCUUCAAAAAAUCGACCAAGACAAAUAUAUCAAGUACAAUGUGGUCCAAAAUGCACAAUAUCUUAUAAAAAUAACUGGCUAUGGGACAUUUUGGCACAGCCGUUUUGGCGCUGCCUAUUCAGCAUUGCUGAUUAGAUGCUGACUUAUUUGACAGCAGAUGUUUUAAUGCUUCUCUUCUCCCCAUUUCUCUCUUCCUUUCUUAUCCUCUCUGUUUAUGUGUUGUUUAAUAAAUAAGUUGUAAUAUUGCUCUGUCUAUAUGUGCGUAUUUUUGCCUGUGCGCGUGUGUUUGCCUCUAGUGCAAAAAAGCACUGUUACCAAAACAGGUUUAAUGCCCAGUCAGCCGUGCCAGAUCGUCAGCAUCCAAACAGCUGCGUCCAGUUGUCUCAUUUAGAAAAUAACUAGAUGAUUAUGGCUUUAAGGCCUAUGACUGCAGGUUUACUCAACUGGAGCCAACCAAGGGCUAAACAAUAAUAGCAAUUUAUUCAUUUCAUAGUUGAGCAGCUAUUUUAGGGAGGUCUCUAACUGUCAUGAAAAGGGAAAUAAAAAGAUAUCAUAAAACUUACUGCCAUCGUCUGCAAGCUUUGAAUUUGUAGAAUAUUCCUGCGAAUGUAAUAUUUUUUUGCAGUCAUGACUGUGCGGUUAAGAAGUUCAUUUUGUAACCAUAGCUUCCGGUUCAUUUCCACUGUACAACAUCUUAUACUAGUGUCUUCUAUAGCACUGGGCUGACCAAUUUAUUAGCUGGAAACUGUGUGAAAGCCUCAGCAGCGUUUAUACUUUCGAUGCUGUGGACACCACCAGAUUGAAUGGUACUGUCCAGGUGUCGAAACCGUAGUGAUAUCCAUUUGGGCAGCUGAUGAUGGGAGUACACAUAUGCUCGACUGUGAAUUUCUUAUAGCUUGGAAUCGUUCUUCUUGAUUGUCCUUCAUUCUCGUAAAGGGGAAAGCAUUUGUGGGUUCAUAGUUUGUAGGGAUUGCUUACUUGGAUAUCGUUUGGUUUUCUUCAUUGAUCACCUAAUUAGUUUGGAUAAUGCUUAAAUAUUGGUGUCUAGUUAUGGUAUAUUCUUUAAUGUGUGUGUGUGUUUGUCCCCCUCUACUACUUGAAACCGGUGUUGGUUUGUGUCUGUUCCCAUAAUUUAGUGGUUU